Molecule: ribosomal RNA, 519 nt
Filed under: uncultured bacterium
Lineage: Bacteria
Description: partial 16S ribosomal RNA
Rfam family: Bacterial small subunit ribosomal RNA
Source: RNAcentral
GACGAACGCUGGCGGCGUGCCUAAUACAUGCAAGUCGAACGCACUCUCGUUUAGAUUGAAGGAGUUUGCUCCUGAUUGAUCAACAUUUGAGUGAGUGGCGGACGGGUGAGUAACACGUGGGUAACCUGCCCUAAAGUGGGGGAUAACAUUUGGAAACAGAUGCUAAUACCGCAUAAAACCUAACACCGCAUGGUGUAGGGUUGAAAGAUGGUUUCGGCUAUCACUUUAGGAUGGACCCGCGGUGCAUUAGUUAGUUGGUGAGGUAAAGGCUCACCAAGACGGUGAUGAAUAGCCAACCUGGGAGGGUAAUCGGCCACACUGGGACUGAGACACGGCCCAGACUCCACGGGAGGCAGCAGUAGGGAAUCUUCCACAAUGGACGAAAGUCUGAUGGAGCAACGCCGCGUGAGUGAAGAAGGUUUUCGGAUCGUAAAACUCUGUUGUUGGAGAAGAAUGUAUCUGAUAGUAACUGAUCAGGUAGUGACGGUAUCCAACCAGAAAGCCACGGCUAACUACGUG